UUGCCACCACCUUCUCUUUCAGCAUCGCCAACGUAUGCUCCUAUCAUUAAGGUGAUAGGCAAAGCAUACUGCUAUAGAUGCUUCAACGAGGCACACCCAGAAGAAUCCCAUGGGAAGGAGCACCUGGAAGGUAACAUUUCGGUUAUUUGCAGUUCUCGUUAUCUACGCACGUUAAUGCAGUCAGCUUGGAAAUACGUCAAGUUUCUUCUUGUUCAUAGUUAUCUUGCUUGAACACUGCCUGUUGACAAGAAAAGUGUAUUCAAGCAUACCAUAUUGAAGAUCCAAGAACAUGGCUAGAGGAAAAUUUUAUGCUUGGUUAUCAUUAUUAUCUGCUGUAGUUACAAAAAGAAAACCUGCCAAAGUCUGCACAAGAAGGAUCUGCACAUUUCCUUUGGUACAAGCCAUUUUUAGUGUUUUAGAAGCCUAUACGUUCUUGCUUAAAUAAAAAACACCAAGUUAAAGUUUGCUACCAGGUAGGCCAAAGUACAUUAGACUAAGGAUAUACAUAUAUGGAUAUGCGACUAAUACCAAGAUGAACUGUGAACCCAAAGUGUAGCUAAAUUCAUCGAAGCGAAAAAGUACUUAAAAAUGAAUGAUGUUUUACAAAUUGUUCAUUCUUCCUGAAUAUCUUUCAGUAUUUCAUACUGCAACUUAAUACUUUUUUAUCAUUAUCUGGUGCAGGAGCCAUGGUCAAGGUCACUUGCCAGGCCAAUGACCAGGCAAUAGUGAGAUUUGGCUACACCGAAAGCAAUGGCAAAUACAGUGUGGCCAUUACCGGGUUGCCACUUAGCGGCACCUUUGGGGCUGACUCGUGCAAGGUUGAGCUCCAUGCAGCAGCAGGAGGAUCUGACUGCAAUGUGCCCAUGGAGUUAAAUCUCUCUGGAGUUAGCGUUUACUCAAAGUCCAAUGAAGAAGUGGUUCUCCAAGCCAACCAAGUAAUGGCAUUUGGAUCAAAGAAGACAUUUGCUGGAUGUUCAAAACCUCACAUUCUACCAUCAAUGUAUCCAUAUAAUUCACCGCCACUCCCAUCCCAGCAUUCCUCACCUCCGUCCAACUACAAAUCCCCACCAGUACCAUACCAGCAUUCACCACCUCCUUCUAACAAGUUUCCACCUCCAUCAUAUCAGUAUCCAUCACCUCCACAGAACUUCUACUCUUCGCCGCCACCGUACCAACAGUCCACACCUUCAAACAACUACCAAGCUCCACCAACAUCUAACAAUCAAACACCAACCCAGAAGUAUUUACCACCCCCAUACUACUACAACUCCCCACCUCCGAACAGCCACGUAGCUCCACCACUGCCAUACCUGCAGUCCCCACCUCCGUACAACUACAAGUCGCCUCUUCUACCAUUGUCACCAACGCCUCCUCAACAUUAUAACUCUCCACCUCCAUUUAACUAUGGAUCUUCACCCCCACCUUACCAAUAUUCUCCACCGCUACCUCCAAAACAUCUACAACCAAAUGUUCCUCAUGCUAAUCCGCUACCAGCAUCAAUAUCUCCACAGCCUCUUUACCCCUAUGGCUCUCCACCACCAGCAUCAAUAUCUCCACAGCCUCUUUACCCCUACAGCUCUCCACCACCAUAUCUGAACUCUUACCAAUCCCCACCACCACCGAUUCAGCUUCCUCAUGUAAAAUCGCCACCAGUUUCUUCAACGUCUCCACAGCCUCUGCACCACUACAGCUCUCCACCACCAUCGCUUCUGAACUCGUACCAAUCCCCACCACCACCGAUUCAGCUUCCUCAUGUAAAAUCGCCACCAGUUUCUUCAACGCCUCCACAGCCUCUGCACCACUACAGCUCACCACCACCAUCGCUUCUGAACUCCUACCAAUCCCCCCCACCACCGAGUCACCUGUCAUAAGCAUCAGGAAGGGUUUCUUGAAAUGUAAGUUUCCUAGUGGGAUGUGUGGUAACAGUAUAGUACCAUUCAAACUUUUACAAAAUGCCGUAAUGUGAAGUCUUAAACAUUCACAAGAGCUCAUAUAAACUCAACAUAAAAGAUAACAUUGGUUAGAUGACUGCCAAGUAAUUAGAUUCCCAAAGUAUAUGACUCAAUCCAUCUCUUUUCAGGAUCAGACGUGGGCAGAAUAAACAGAAGAGGUGAAGCCUAUCUCGAGAGGAAGAAGCGCCGCAGCUGGAGUUUUCAACUGAGGAUCUCAGUCUCUAGUAUUAUUUACCCAAGCAUCUAGUGUUGUUUCAGCUUGCACUCCGUUGCCUAGAGCUAUUUCAGCAAUGUAACCAUAAGUUGUAUGAGCUUUUCUUAGUAGUACAUCAGUGUUCUAUUUUCAAUCCAAUAUACGGCGGAGGUUUCCUUUACAUCCCUAAAAUAUUUUCUACUGCGCAUUUCUGUCUCGAGAAACUGGAACAAAAUAGAGAGAUGGUGUGGCUUGACUAGCCACUCCACUUAUUCCAGAUUUGUCCCACCGUUUAUGCUGCGGCAUCUAUCCAAGAUAGAACAAAUCCAGGGGGUACUUCUCCACCGUGAAAUUCUAUGGGUCAAAUUCAAUUCAGUAAUCAAAAGUUAGAAAACUGGGCUUGGAAUGCAGUGCGCUCAUGAGUCACUACCGGUCAGCAUCAUCUCAGGGGAAGCAUAAUAUCACCAGUAAAUCAGCGCAGCGCGGUCCUAGGUAAAAUAAUAAAAUCACAGAAUCCAUCACCCAACCACGCGCCGCCGCAAGGCACAUUUCUUCAGUGGGUCGCGGCGGGUUUUCAGAGAAAUUUCGGCUGCUGAACGGGUGUAAACAAUAACAGCAGCGCUCGACUGCUCAACGAAAGUAGUUUAUCUUCCUGCCGGAUCUCGCGGUAUGUAUCUACCAUGUAUUGUUCGUGUACAGUCGAUGAAGGGAGGAGACCUACGCAGAUAGUGCCAAGAGGAACGAGUAACCCGGGGACUGACCUGCUGCCUCCAGUAACCCACCGCAGAUUGAUGACGGCGACCACGGAAGCGGGUCUCUGAGCGAGAAUUUAUCGCCGGAGUUGGCGGACGGCCGGUGGUCCGCUCCGGCCAGGGUCUGCGGGUAGCAGAGCCUGGCGUGGCGGCGUCGGGGACGGAGAGAAG
Molecule: long non-coding RNA, 3068 nt
Filed under: Triticum aestivum (bread wheat)
Lineage: Eukaryota; Viridiplantae; Streptophyta; Magnoliopsida; Poales; Poaceae
Description: long non-coding RNA (TAES_LNC000616)
Source: RNAcentral